Molecule: ribosomal RNA, 253 nt
Filed under: uncultured bacterium
Lineage: Bacteria
Description: partial 16S ribosomal RNA
Rfam family: Bacterial small subunit ribosomal RNA
Source: RNAcentral
UACGUAGGGUGCGAGCGUUAAUCGGAAUUACUGGGCGUAAAGCGUGCGUAGGCGGUUCGUUAAGUUCGUUGUGAAAGCCCCGGGCUCAACCUGGGAAUGGCAUUUGGGACUGCAAGGCUGGAGUUUGGCAGAGGAGACUGGAAUUCCUGGUGUAGCAGUGAAGUGCGUAGAUAUCAGGAGGAACACCGAUGGCGAAGGCAGGUCUCUGGGCUGAAACUGACGCUCAAGCACGAAAGCGUGGGGAGCAAACAGG